CAAAAUGUAGCUUAACAAAAGCCCCUCGCUUACACCUAGGAAAUAUCUGUUCGACUCGGAUCAUUUUGAG
RNAcentral lists this transfer RNA (70 nucleotides) under Rana zhenhaiensis. Its description in RNAcentral is "tRNA-Val". It matches the Rfam family "tRNA". From Rfam's summary of the family: Transfer RNA (tRNA) molecules are approximately 80 nucleotides in length. Their secondary structure includes four short double-helical elements and three loops (D, anti-codon, and T loops). Further hydrogen bonds mediate the characteristic L-shaped molecular structure. tRNAs have two regions of fundamental functional importance: the anti-codon, which is responsible for specific mRNA codon recognition, and the 3' end, to which the tRNAs corresponding amino acid is attached (by aminoacyl-tRNA synthetases). tRNAs cope with the degeneracy of the genetic code in two manners: having more than one tRNA (with a specific anti-codon) for a particular amino acid; and 'wobble' base-pairing, i.e. permitting non-standard base-pairing at the 3rd anti-codon position. The record is from RNAcentral. Lineage: Eukaryota; Metazoa; Chordata; Amphibia; Anura; Ranidae.